Pieris napi is the source of this 2410-nucleotide long non-coding RNA. RefSeq lists it as uncharacterized. The transcript is spliced from 2 exons. The record is from RefSeq and is a predicted model, not a curated record. Lineage: Eukaryota; Metazoa; Arthropoda; Insecta; Lepidoptera; Pieridae.
GAUACCAAAAAUACUAAAUUAGGUAGACGGAGCCCGAAUUAUACCGAUUUGGUACAGAAUAUACUAAAAUCGGUCACACUGCAACUGGGCCCAUAAAUUAUUAGUGCGCUACAUAGACCACAGAUUAAACAAAUCAUGAGAUAAGCAUUAGCAAUUUGAGCCUUAAGUUGAGUUUGGUUCAAGUUGGGUUUAGGCACUGUUUUAUUUACAUUAAUUACAAUUUUUACAUUUUUAUUUAAUUUAUGUACAUUUUGGCUUAUUUAUGGUAGGGUCUUAACAAUGCUGCUCGACUGUGCAGGUAAACACGGAAAAUCAGAUGACGUAAUUAAUAAUUAACAAAAUGUACAAUUAUUUACACUGACUAAAAUAAGUUUUGGUAAUAUUUACACAAGAUAUUUGAACGAAAAACUGUAAAGAUCAUUAAAUCGAUCGCCACAUUUGGAGUUCCCGCCAAAAGUCCCACAGAUUAUUAUUGCGCUACAUAGACCACAGAUUAAAUAAAUCAUAAGCAUAAAGCAUUACUUUACAACAAAAUCCAUAAAUUAAGCAAUUAUAGUAGACUGUAGAUUGUAGAAUUCAAUUAAAAAUUAUUUAUAGUUCCAGGCUCCAGCCUCGAGGUGCUCGUUUUAAAUUCGAUGUUAAGGUCUUCUAUGAUAGUUUAACAAAUUAGAUGAUAAACAAAGGCCUUGGAUAUGGAAUUCAAGGCAUUCGAAGAAUAUGUGGUCUAAAGUUUGAUCGACGUGGUAUCGUGGAUGCGGUGUAAAUGUGAAUUAAAUCUGCUAUGUCCGAAUCUAAGGCGGCAAAGUAUUGUGUAAAAUCUUCUGGUUUUGUAAUUGCUGGAUUUACAAAACCAUGGCAUUCCAAUAUCUUGGUUGAUUGCAGCAUACCAAGUGCCCCUUCUCGCUAAACUUUCUUGCCAAACAUCUUUCCAAUUCUGAUUAAGUUUUGAAUUUAGAAGUGGCAGUAAAUCAAUGUACGGAAGGUUAACUUUGUCAACAGCGCUGCUGUCACUGAAAACAAUCGCAUAUACAAGGAAAUCCACAUGCUCCUUGCCUGAGACUUCUAUAUGCGAGGGCGGCCAUAAUAAUUCCACACUGUAAUUUCAUAAAGUUAGUAUUUGAUUUUGGGGAUAAUGUAGCUUGACUUAGCACUGAAUUGAUGAUUCUGUAGAGCUUUUAGAACACUCAUGCUGUCUGUGAUGAUUAACCAAAAUCUUUCAGAACAAUCUUCAAUGAAUCUUAAUACAGCAACAAUAGCAAGAGCUUCUGCAGAAAAUAUGCUCAAAUUUUCCUUUAAUUUAGUACCUUGCCUAAACUUCAAACUUGGAAUAUAGAAUGCCAUUGAAAUCCUAACCUUCUUUUUACAGCCAUCUGUGUAAAUAUGAUUAUAAUUGUGAUAUUGAGUUAUAAGAUUAUAGACUUCAUGUCGAUCUCUCAGUUUAUUGUCUAUAACUAUGCUGAUGCAUCCAUAAUACUUUCAUAGCUCUUAGUAUAGCCAACCCAGUUAUCUGAUUUAAAGGUGCUGUGCUGAUUGAUCAGAUUUAACAAGGGAGCUCAUGCAAAAGAAAGGGAUGAUUGCUUGAGAGAGGGAACUUCACAGGGUAACUAUUGUUCAGAUGGAUAAGUUUGUUAAGCAAGUGAUUAUGUCUAGAAAGUUAGUUUUUAGAUAUUGAAACCUUAAGAAUAGUAGAGGAGUGUUGAAAUUAUGGGAGUUGUUCUCAUUGCCCCAGUAAUGAGUCUCAUGAUUUUGAAUGUCUAAUUUGUGAAGAAAUUGGUUAUUUGAAGCAAAACAAAAGAAACUGUAUUCGAAGUGACUACAAACGAGAGAUUUGUAUAGAGCUAAAAGAAUUUUAGGAUCAGAGCCCUAUGUUCCAGCAAGAGACAUCAAAAUAUUCAGCGCCUUUAUAGCUCUGUCAGUUACACAAUCAACAUAUUCACCCCUGGAUAAAUUGUUAACACCCAAGAACUAAGAAAAAGGAGGGCUGCAAUUACCCGGACUGUGAAGGCUUACAAUAGUUAAUUCCUUGCAAUUUGAAUAUUUCAUUCUAAUGGCUAUAUUUUGAAGGGAAUUAUCGUAAACAGUAUUAACAUUAGAGUAAGAGAUAGAUCUAUGUACAAGUAUGGCUACACCAUUGUGAGAGUUUCCUCAGUCUAGUCUUACUACAUUGUAAUUAAGCAAUUUAAAUUUAUGAUGAGGUAUAAAGACUCGCAAAUAAUGGCCAAAAUGAUCCAAAAGAAAAUGGUUGAAAAUAUGUUGAUUGUGCAAUAUACUCUGAACAUUCCACUGAACUAUAUUUAAAGUAUCCAUUAGGAUAUAAUUGAAGAUUUCUUACCACAAUGCUUUUUGAAGGUAUCUUUUAUAGUUUCGGAGCAAUUUUUUGAAUCAUUGGUCCAGUUGAGGGUGAUUAAUU